UGGGGAAUAUUGGACAAUGGGCGCAAGCCUGAUCCAGCCAUGCCGCGUGAGUGAUGAAGGCCUUAGGGUUGUAAAGCUCUUUUGUCCGGGACGAUAAUGACGGUACCGGAAGAAUAAGCCCCGGCUAACCUCGUGCCAGCAGCCGCGGUAAUACGAGGGGGGCUAGCGUUGUUCGGAAUCACUGGGCGUAAAGCGCACGUAGGCGGCUCAUUAAGUCAGGGGUGAAAUCCCGAGGCUCAACCUCGGAACUGCCUUUGAUACUGCUGAGCUCGAGUGUGGAAGAGGUUGGUGGAACUGCGAGUGUAGAGGUGAAAUUCGUAGAUAUUCGCAAGAACACCAGUGGCGAAGGCGGCCAACUGGUCCAUUACUGACGCUGAGGUGCGAAAGCGUGGGGAGCAAA
Molecule: ribosomal RNA, 400 nt
Filed under: uncultured bacterium
Lineage: Bacteria
Description: bacterial SSU rRNA
Rfam family: Bacterial small subunit ribosomal RNA
Source: RNAcentral